AAGGAGCCAACUGUGGCUGCGGCUCCCCCCGCGCCUCUGGCUCCCGGAGCGGGCUGCAGCGGCCGACAUAGAACAAGGAAGACAAUUCUCUACUAACCGUGGUUUUGACUGGCACGUACAGCACUUGCUUCCCUCCUCCAGCACCACCACUGACCUCGUCCGAGUUGCCGAGCUGGAAGCCUUUCGAUUUGACCCAGAAUUUGAAUUUGGCAUUAUCCGUGGAGCUCGACUCGGAGCCGUUGAGGAGCUGGACGAUCCGGUCGUAUUUUUUACGGGUCACCGUCUUGGUUUUUCCUGAGUCCCCGAGGCGAAACGGGGCUGGUGGAGGCUCCUCUUAUCCUUCCACGGUACGUGAUCAGUCUCUUUAAUAAUUGUGCGAGGCAGGACUAUCCCACUGGCUCCAGCAGCGUCUUACCCAGAGAGGGUUCGGGUGGAUAAAUAAUUAAAAUCCUAUCCCUCGGCUUAGCGAAGAGAAAAGAAAAUAUCGACUCGGAUCCUUCUUCUUUUCCAUACAUCAGCUGCACACGGAUUCACCCUGGGUAGCGCAGGUGAAAGGGGGGGAAGAAGAAAAAAAAAAAAAAAAAAAAAGAAGAAGAAGAAGGAAAAAAAGCCCACCCUUCCUCCGCCCCGGCUGCCUUGUCGAAAGGCUUUCUGUCUCUGUCCUGGGCUCUGCCGCUCCCCAAAGCAGCCUCGCCGCGCAGGAUGGAGGAAGCACUGAAGGGCAAACUGGUCUCUUUGCUCCCCCUUUAUUCCAGGGCUGGGCGGCUUUGCUUUAGAUAUCCCCGCUCCGGGCAUGAAGGUACUGGAAAGAAAGAAAGUUCUUACCUGCUAUUUGCUAAACCUAAUACAUCCCAUCCGCGUUUUGAAUACAUAUUUUUUAAUUAAAAAAAAAAAUAAUAA
This is a long non-coding RNA of Calidris pugnax (ruff), 900 nucleotides long. RefSeq lists it as uncharacterized. The record is from RefSeq and is a predicted model, not a curated record. The transcript is spliced from 2 exons. Lineage: Eukaryota; Metazoa; Chordata; Aves; Charadriiformes; Scolopacidae.